Molecule: long non-coding RNA, 716 nt
Organism: Neogale vison (American mink)
Lineage: Eukaryota; Metazoa; Chordata; Mammalia; Carnivora; Mustelidae
Exons: 3
Source: RefSeq, a predicted model, not a curated record
UCACACCGGUCUGCACCGGACGGCGGUGUUUGCACAUGACCCAGCCUCUGCGGACUCUCCUCGAUGCCCAGGACACCACCAAGGACAUAAAUGAGCGGAAUGACAAGGAGACCAGGACCCUGAGCCCCGGCUUCUCCAAGACCUCUUGCUCCAUUUAAACCUCCUGUCGCGACUUUAGAAGCUGCGCAGACGCGUAAAGACCGCGUAGACAGACGCUGUGCCAGGACCCCCUCAGCAUGGCUGCUUAACUGCAGGUGAUUAUUGUUUUGGAAUUCGCGUGGGAGCCUAACCUUCUUGUUCUCGGCCUGUGGAGAGGUGUGUCGCCAAGUUCCAGACAGGUGCUGCGGACUUCGAGAACACAGCCUGCUGGUAAGAUGAAAACUCAUCCUCAUCAUCAUGUCCUCCGGUGGGCAGAGUGGGCACGGGGGGCAGGGGACGCCCAGUGAUCCUGGUCUUAGACACGACCAGGUUCGUAGGAGGGCCUGGAAGCUGUUUCUAGAGGGGCAAGGAGAAGCCCAGUGAGGGAAGCUUGUGGCAGGGUGGGCUUCAGACCGAGGCCUCGGGCCCCCGGCCCAUGCCCCCACGGACCCGUGCUCCUCACCCAUCUUGCGAGCCAUCCUGGGUUGACUCGAAGAAGCAACCACACAUGAAAACGGAGAACGUCGUUGCCUACAUGUGAGGGACCCAAGAAGAAAUUAGAAGAAAUUGCACUGUGA